AUAUUAAAGUUGUUGCAGUUAAAAAGCUCGUAGUUGAAUUUCGGGAUCAAUUAAUUGGUCGUGCCUCUGGUACGUACUGAUUUUAUUGGUUUCUCCCUUCUGACGAACCAUGAUGUCAUUAAUUUGAUGUCGUGGAGAAUCAGGACUGUUACUUUGAAAAAAUUAGAGUGUUUAAAGCAAGCUAACGCUUGAAUACAUUAGCAUGGAAUAAUGAAAUAGGACGUUUGAUCCUAUUUUGUUGGUUUCUAGGAUCGACGUAAUGAUUAAUAGGGAUAGUUGGGGGCAUUAGUAUUCAAUUGUCAGAGGUGAAAUUCUUGGAUUUAUUGAAGACUAACUACUGCGAAAGCAUUUGCCAAGGAUGUUUUCAUUAAUCAAGAACGAAAGUUAGGGGAUCGAAGACGAUCAGAUACCGUCGUAGUCUUAACCAUAAACUAUGCCGACUAGGGAUCGGAUGAUGUUAAUUUUUUAAUGACUCAUUCGGCGCCUUACGGG
This 492-nucleotide ribosomal RNA is filed under the name uncultured Glomus. RNAcentral describes it as "SSU rRNA". It matches the Rfam family "Eukaryotic small subunit ribosomal RNA", at positions 601 to 1094 of the family's 1831-position model. The record is from RNAcentral. Lineage: Eukaryota; Fungi; Glomeromycota; Glomeromycetes; Glomerales; Glomeraceae.